UCCUACAUUUUAUUUUUAUUAUUAUUUUUGUUCAUUCAAUAGAAUUAUUUUCCUUCCAGUAUAUAUGGGAUCGACCCUACUCAUCAUUAUCGCAGUUUAUUUUGUUUUAGAAAAGCAAAAAUUUAUUUUUAGUGGUUUCAACAUCCAUCAGAGAUAAACUCCAAAAAGGAUCAGUUAAAUUAUUGCCUAUGUCCUCACUUGCACAACUUCAGUUAAAUUACUACCUAUCUCCUCACUUGCACAACUUCAGUUAAAUUACUACCUAUAUCCUCACAUGCACAACUUGUUGAUAUUCACAUGAAGGCAUUAUCAACUGGUGCAUUCCAUGCCAUCAUGGUCAAGCUAGAAAUGGCAAAUAUCCAUUCUCCAACUUGCAGGGUGUUACAGCUAAAAAUAAAUACCUAAGUUGUUAUUUAUCAAUUAGUUACAGUUAGUUUCUUCCUUUUCCCGCCUCUUUCUUUCCUUUUCCGGUCUCUUCCUUUCUAGGUGUAUCUUGUGAAAUAACUUGUAUAUAAUGAGUUGUUUUGCUCUCUUGAAUAAUAAGAUAUUCAUUCCUUUUCUCUCUGGUUUCUCUUCUUCAAUAAUUCGACAAAUAACAAUACAAUACUCUAACUCAAAAUGAUAUUAGUUCCAUUAAAAUAAUUUAUCUAUCUCAACUAAAUUUUUUUUAAUAUCCAAAUUUGACAUUUUUACUUGAGAAAAUCACACUAACUCUUCAAAACUCCAAUUGACACCAAAUAAAAUAAAUGAAAGAAUAAAUAAAUAUGCAAUUAAACUUGCUAAAUAUAAUAUAUAAAAAU
Molecule: long non-coding RNA, 800 nt
Filed under: Manihot esculenta (cassava)
Lineage: Eukaryota; Viridiplantae; Streptophyta; Magnoliopsida; Malpighiales; Euphorbiaceae
Description: long non-coding RNA (MESC_LNC004764)
Source: RNAcentral